Molecule: ribosomal RNA, 441 nt
Filed under: uncultured bacterium
Lineage: Bacteria
Description: bacterial SSU rRNA
Rfam family: Bacterial small subunit ribosomal RNA
Source: RNAcentral
ACUCCUACGGGAGGCAGCAGUGGGGGAUAUUGCACAAUGGGGGAAACCCUGAUGCAGCGACGCCGCGUGAGUGAAGAAGUAUUUCGGUAUGUAAAGCUCUAUCAGCAGGGACGAAAAUGACGGUACCUGAGUAAGAAGCCCCGGCUAACUACGUGCCAGCAGCCGCGGUAAUACGGAGGGGGCAAGCGCUAUCCGGAUUUACUGGGUGUAAAGGGUGCGUAGGUGGCAUGGCAAGUCAGAAGUGAAAGCCCGGGGCUCAACCCCGCGGACUGCUUUUGAAACUGUCAGGCUGGAGUACAGGAGAGGUAAGCGGAAUUCCUAGUGUAGCGGUGAAAUGCGUAGAUAUUAGGAGGAACACCAGUGGCGAAGGCGGCUUACUGGACUGUAACUGACACUGAGGCACGAAAGCGUGGGGAGCAAACAGGAUUAGAUCCCCGCGUA